Long non-coding RNA from Pongo pygmaeus (Bornean orangutan), 378 nucleotides. RefSeq lists it as uncharacterized. Lineage: Eukaryota; Metazoa; Chordata; Mammalia; Primates; Hominidae. The record is from RefSeq and is a predicted model, not a curated record. The transcript is spliced from 3 exons.
GAGACCCCAACACUCGUCGGUCCACCUCCCAGACUGGAGUGCAGUGGUGCGAUCACAGCUUACUGCAGCCUCUCCUCCAGGGCUCAAGCCAGCCUCCCAGGUACAGCACUGGCUUCCUCUGGGCAGAUUUUGCCAACUCAGAGCCCCUUUUAUUCUGAACCCUGGACCAUGGGCAUGUGGUGGACAGAAUAAUGAUGCCCUUCAAGAUGCCCACAUCCUAAUCUCCAGAACCUGGCAGAGGAAGGAAGCCAAAAUAAGGAAGAAGAAAGAAAAGGAGCUCAGCCCUUCCUUCUCCUGUGGAGCCUCCCCAGCCCACCAGGGAACAUCACCUCCACCAAUUGCCACAGCAGACCCACUAUGUGCCAGUCACAUAUUUGG